This 606-nucleotide long non-coding RNA is filed under the name Anser brachyrhynchus (Pink-footed goose). Its description in RNAcentral is "lncRNA (ENSABRG00000004497.1)". The record is from RNAcentral. Lineage: Eukaryota; Metazoa; Chordata; Aves; Anseriformes; Anatidae.
UGUUUAGAAAGUGUUAGUAACCAACUAGAUAUAAAAUUUGAGUUUAAUUUAAAUUCAUUUUCUCCUGUGUAGCUAAAGGUUGGUGACUGAGAGAGAAGGAACAAACCAGAGUGUUUUACAGCAGCCCAGCUGAACAAAGGGAUCUACCAAUACUGGUGAGGUUCCUUCUGUGAACUGGACAAUGGAAGCUGCCCCCAAUUCAUGGUCACUCUUCCCACUGGCGAACGUCCUAAGGAGGAGCUGUUUUUAGGUUGUGCCUGCUGAGAGUUGGAGGUGAAGAAGUGCACACCCACCCUUUGUGCCAUUCUUGCUGAGGACUUGUACAACAUUGUUGUUCAGGGCUGAACAGAUUUCCAGAUCUCCUUUUGGCAGCUGGAUAAGGAGGGAAUGCCACCGCAAAGGAGGGAUCGUCGAGGCGAGGUUGAAGUCGUACUCAAAGGCAGCAGCAGUGCUGUGCAUCGCACAUAUCACCACCGUGAUCGGUGAACUUCUCCCCUGGAGGGACUCUCAGACCUCUGUGAGUAGCAUCCAUGAUAACUAAAGCUGGGCCUGCAUACGGUUUUAAAAGUGAUAAAAAAUCCCACAAUUGAAAAUCACUUGUUUCAG